RNAcentral lists this long non-coding RNA (20137 nucleotides) under Erythranthe guttata (spotted monkey flower). Its description in RNAcentral is "long non-coding RNA (EGUT_LNC002091)". Lineage: Eukaryota; Viridiplantae; Streptophyta; Magnoliopsida; Lamiales; Phrymaceae. The record is from RNAcentral.
UUCAAUGGCGUUGUCUUCUCCAUCUUUCGCCGGACAGGCAGUGAAGCUCUCUCCCGAAAUCACCGCCAACUACAGCCGUGUCUCAAUGAGGAAAACCGCCGCAAAGCCGAAGCCUGCGUCAUCCGGCAGCCCAUGGUACGGCCCAGACCGUGUCAAGUAUUUGGGUCCAUUCUCCGGGGAGGCACCUAGCUACCUCACCGGUGAGUUCCCAGGUGACUACGGGUGGGAUACAGCUGGACUUUCGGCUGACCCCGAAACAUUCUCCAAGAACCGUGAGCUUGAAGUGAUCCACUCAAGAUGGGCCAUGCUUGGUGCUCUUGGUUGCGUCUUCCCCGAGCUUUUGGCCCGCAACGGUGUCAAGUUCGGUGAGGCUGUUUGGUUCAAGGCCGGAUCACAAAUCUUCAGUGAGGGUGGCCUCGACUAUUUGGGCAACCCAAGCUUGGUCCAUGCUCAGAGCAUAUUGGCCAUUUGGGGUGUCCAAGUUGUUUUGAUGGGAGCUAUUGAGGGCUACAGAAUUGCCGGUGGGCCCCUCGGUGAGGUUGUUGACCCACUUUACCCGGGUGGUAGCUUUGACCCAUUGGGCCUUGCUGAGGACCCCGAAGCCUUCGCUGAGCUCAAGGUAAAAGAGCUAAAGAACGGCAGACUUGCAAUGUUCUCCAUGUUCGGAUUCUUUGUUCAGGCUAUUGUCACCGGAAAGGGCCCACUCGAAAACCUUGCCGACCAUCUUGCCGAUCCCGUUAACAACAAUGCCUGGGCCUUUGCCACUAACUUCGUACCCGGAAAGUAAAAUUGACAUAGAUGAGUACUGUAGUGAUUAAUACGGAUUGAUUGAGUAUGAUGUAAAGUUAAUGUGUAUUAUUAUUAUUAUUGAAAUAUUAUAAUAAUGUAUUUAUGGGAUUCAACAAAUGACAAAAGCCUAUCAACAAUGUCUUGUGCUUCUGUUCGAUGACUUGUACUUGAAGCAUCACGGUCAAUAACUUCAAGUACAUCAAUUAUUGCAUCAAAUUAAACAUAUUGAUCAAACUCAACAAAGUAUUGUAAUGCGAGCUCCAACGCGUAUUACCUGUGUAUUUAAAAAAGUAAAUAAAAAUAAAAAUUUAUGAGACAUUCUAAAAUGGUAAAAAAAAAUAUUAAAGCCUAAAAAUAAUAUAACCUGCUCGUUUGAGAUUUGUUUCUUGAUUUAGACCUCGCCCACUUGAAAUCUCCCCCAUAUUGAGUGCAUCGAUUAUGUUUUCAUGUUGCUUUUGUCUAAGCAAAUCACGACGUUUACAUGAAGAACCAACAACAUUCAACACUCUUGUAUUAAAAUCAAAAAGUGAAGAAAUAUGAUCGUGCUUCUUAGCAACUGCUACUAAAGCUAAUUGGAGCUGAUGAGCGAAGCAAUGAAUAUAAUAUGCACAAGGGUUCUCAUUCAAGAUGAGUGUUUUUAGGCCACUGAAUUGACCUCUCAUAUUACUAGCUCCAUCAUAACCUUGACCACGUAAUUUAGAGACACUCAAUCCAUAUCGAGAAAAAAAAUCAUCAAUAGUUGCUUUAAGAGUCAAAGCACUAGUAUCAGUAACAUGUUCAACUCCUAAAAAUCGCUCAAUCACAAUACCAGAUUUGUCGACAUACCUUACCACUAAGGCCAUUUGCUCCUUCAUCGAUAUAUCCCUUGCUUCAUCAACCAUUAGACAAAACGUCGAAUCACCAAUAUCACUUAUAAUUUCUUUCAGAAUUUCCAUUGCAAAUGCAUUUACAAUCUCCUUUUGAAUAUCUGAACAUAUCAUCUUGUGGUUUAAUGGAGCAUUGUUCAGAGUAACUUCUUUAAUAUUCGAAUUAAUUUGCCCAAAGGUUUUCACAAGUUGAAUAAAAUUUCCUGGAUUAGUCGAAUUUUCGCUUUCAUCGUGACCACGAAAUGCUAGUCCUUGUGUUGAGAGAUAUCGAGCCACCUCAAUUGAAGUAAUCAAACGCAUUUUAUAUUUAGCCUUUUCUUGAUCUGACUGCUUGUGAACAACUGUCUCAAUAUGUUGAUUUUGAUUCAUCAAAUCUGCACAUUUCCCCAAGCUUCAUUAUGUGCACUAUUAGGACCUCCUACGUGAGUAACUAACUUUUCAUUUCUCUUCCAAUUACUAAAUCCUUCAGUAACAAAAUGAUCACCUCCCGAUUGACCUCCCAUAUCUGGUUUGAAAAGAUAACAGCAUAAACAAUAUGCUGCAUCUUUGGAUACACUAUACUCCAACCAAGUACUAUAUUUGGUGUACCAAGUGUUAAUAAAUCGACUAUUUUGCUUGCCAUAAAUUGUGAGAGGAAAUGCGUGGUUAUACGGUAGGCAAGGACCUUUUUGCAAAUAUGUUCUACGAACUCGAUCUCGAUCAUUAACAUUAUAUUGUAAAAUACUAAGGCCUUUGUCCAGGAUUUGCAGGAAGAUCUUCUAAGUUAAUUUCUCGGAGUGGUUUAUUCGAUGUAGAUUCAUCACCUUCUUGAAGAGGAGGUGCUUUUCUUUUUAAAUAUGUAACAUAACUGUUUAACAAGACAAAAUAAAAUAUAUUAAUAAAAAAAUAAGGAGUUCCAAGAAAGUGAUCAGAGAUUAAGACAACAAAAAUUAAAGGAAAAAAGCUCAAAAUCCAUAAAAUAUAUCACUUUGUCAAGUUUUUUUAAUAAUAAUAAUGAAUGGAGAAUUAAUAAAUAAUAAAAUAUAUAAAGAAUGAUGAAUAAAAAUCACCUGUCUCAAUUCUUCAUAUACUGCUACUGGUGCGUGCAUAUCAUAUGGUCUUUUCUUUGUUUUUUUAUUUAUUUUAUUUUUAUUUUUUUAUUUAUUCAUCACUCCAAUUUUUCACCUGAUCAAUUUCCUUCGUUUGUUUGCCAAUUACAUCCACUUUUAACAAAUAUCAAUUCCUUAAAUUCACUUUUCACCAUUAUCAUCGCAUUACAAGAAGUUCCCAUUUUCCCGAUUUUUAGUUCUUUCUUUGCCUCCACUGUAGAAGAUAAUACCAAAACAAACAACAAAACCUAAAUUGCAAUGAAAAUCCAGGAAACAUGUAUAUCUAGUCGAUUAUCAAAAUUACUCAAUCGACUUCUAAAUUUCUAAUUGAUAUUCAGUAUGAAAAUUAAGAUGAGAGAGAAGAUGCGAAACCUUAAUCGAUCGCCGGUAGGUGGCAAUUUCCGGCAAGCAACGAUUGUAGAACGCUAUAUGCAACUGUGCAAGAGAGUUUUUUUUAUUUCUUUCUUUCUGAGAGAAACGAGAACGACGUUUCGUGAGAGACGAUGCUUUGAAUAGUGGGCUAAAAAUAAGUGAUGUUAGAUAAUAUAAUUGGGUAUUUGGGUGGGCUUUAAAAGGAAAUAGGGUAUUUUAUAUAUAUAUAUAUAUAUAUAUAUAUAUAUAUAUAUAUAUAUAUAUAUAUAUAUAUAUAUAUAUAUAUAUAUAUAUAUAUAUAUAUAUAUAUAUAUGAGAAAAUUUUUAAGAAGUGAGGGGGGGCUUGAGUCCACCCUAGCCCUUGCGUGGACUCGGACUGGUCACAUAUGUGAGCCCACAUAAUUAUUGAAAUAAUUUCAAAAAUCUCCCACUAGGGGCACAUAUGCUAUAUACCUUAUAAAUGUGUACACCUUAUGAGCUCAAAUAUUGCUAUCAUAUAAAAAUGUAUUCCUUACAAUCUCGUCCAUUGACCAUACUAAUAUAGGACUAAAGAGAAAAAGAAAAACGUCUUCAUCUUGUUCCAGCAGUCAGUCCUGGAUUUUGAGAACCCAUGGCCCGAAACCUCCGAACAAACCACCGACAUAACCCUCUGCAAUUCCAAGGAUGACCGCUGCCGCCACACCAAUCUCACCGCCCACCGGCGCACACCCGAUCUCAUCGCCCAGCAUCGCACACCUCCGCUGCGGCUUGGGGCGGCCUCAAUUGUGAGAAGAUCAUCUAAUCCUCCAUUCAUUGGAAGAAUAUCUAGUCGAUUCGGAGGAAGAAAUCGAGAGAAAAUAGUGUUCAUAUAACCUGAAUUGGGGAAAGGGGGAAAUUAAAUGAAUAUUUUUGACCUAAUUUUAGGUCCAAUUUCAGUCAAUUAAAAUGAGUUAGGAUUAGAUGUGUUCAUAAUACAAACUUUAGAAUGUAAUGUGUCCAUCGUCGAAAAAUCUCGCUUGGGGUUGUGGGCGGCAGAUCUGAAGACAAUAUGGUGGUGGUGGUGAGCUUGGUAGUUGUGCAAGAUGUCGGAGCUGGUUCCUGGUGGUGAGCGGCGGACGACUGCAACAUGAUAGAAAUGGUUGAUGAAAGUUGUGAGUUGGGUGAGUAGGAUGGGCUGGUGUGCGUGGAAUGGGUAGCUGCUGGGAUUGGGAACAAGAUAAAGGCAACUUUUUUUUUAAUUAUUCGAUUUGACAUUUAUUCCAUUUUAAAAAUGGAAAAGACGUCAGUAGGCUUAGAUUUGUCAUGUGCAACGCGCGUGGGUUGAGAACCAAUCAUUUUGAUCCGAAAAUAGGUAAAAAAAAGGGUAAGUGGCAUAAUUAAAUGAGUACAAGUGAACUCGUGCAAAAUAGAAUUUGUUCGUUUGGUGAUCCGCAAAACCUUAAAAAAUUUAAAUGGUUUAAUUCUAUUUACCCUUUAAAUUAAUUAUUUAAUUAAAAUAUAGUCGGGGUUAAAUUAGAUAAUUCGAUGUUAAUUUAUUUUAUAUUAGUUUAAUAGAAAAAAUUUAAUCGAAGGCUACUUUGGUUAAUGAUUCAUUAAUUAUAACACCAUCCAUGUUAUUUUCCUAGACUCGAGAUCUAAUCUUAUAAGAUUAACGGUGAUUCGAGCAUAUCUCAUAUGAGUUUCAAACACGAAAUACCUUUAGACAAACUCAUUAAAAUAAUAUUGAAAUCAAAAUUAAUUGUAUAACUAUCUUUAAAUAUUAUACUUCCCAAACAUGCAUGCCCACAUCUUCCCAAAAUCAAAGACAAAAAAAUAAAAAAAAAUUGUCCUGCGCAAUCUUUGCCCACCACCCCCCCCCCCCCCCCUCCCUACCUUUUUGGGCCACUGUAGCUUCGCCCAUGUACAUUGAUACCAAUUCUAAAAAAAUGGACGUAGCUGGUGAAAGUAAACAAGCCCGCAUUGAAGUGCUAGGAUUUUGUCGCCGUCAGAAUCAUCAGGUCUUUGUCAUUACAACCAAGAAUAAUAAGACUCUAAAAGAACUUCUUUCAACUAUAGAAGAAAAAAGUGGAGCUAUAAAUCUCAAUCCUUUGAUUCUUCAAUAUCUAGCCCCGCAUGAAAGACUGUAUAUAUCGGUGACGAACGAUGAAGACGUGCAUAUGAUGGUGUUGAUGAUGCAUUUGAUAUUGAAAAUGAACAUCGUCGACAUUAUUAUUGCUCAAAAGAAUGAUUCAUCUGUGUUGAAACGACACCAACAUAACCAGGUAUUUAUUGGCUUCCUCGUAAAUUACAAUUUAUGAUAAGGAACGUCAAAUUGGACUCGAAUUGCAAAAUAACUAUUUAAUUCGGAGAAGAGUUAUUAAUGGGCAUCGGUGGAGAUAUCGAAAGAAAUUAUGGAAAAAUAAGGGUUUUCAACGAACUCGAAUUGUAUUUGAGUAUGAAACGAACUCUAUCUCAAGUGAAACGGCGCAAGGAACAAAACUCAUGAGAAAAGCUCAUGAAUCACGUCAAAUUUCAGCAAUCCAGCGUCAUUUAGACUCCUAAAAGUUCUUUUUUGCUAUUUUAGGUAAGUUUUAGAAAAUUAAUAUCAAAUCAUAGAAAAAUCGUAUUAGGAUUCCGUAAAUUGGGUUGUUCCCAAAACUACGAGAUCUACUAGAAUUAGGAUUUAACUCAUUUUUGCCGUUUUUGGUAAUUUUUAGCAUUUUCUUAAUUUAAUUAGGGUUUUCAGUUUUUUUAGUAUAAAUAGAUGCCUUAGGACUUUAUUUUGAAGAAGAAUUUCGAAUUUUAAUAAAAUAUUUAGAGUUUUCUCUAUUUUUAUGGUGGAUUCUAGAGUUUUCGGUGGAUUCCGAAUGUUAUCGUGUUCUAUAGGAUUAAUUCGUAGAAAUUAAUUCCUUUUGUGCUCCCGUCCUGCAUCAGUUGGCAUUAGUAGCGAGGUUUUUCCUGGUUAGAUGGCGAAAGGUGCGAAACAUGGAGACAACAACUACGUUGGCGAUGACCGCGGGGUUGAGAAACUGCAAAAUCUGUGGUUGGUGCGCGAGGGAUUUGCCCUUGACAACAACAACAGAAGGACUGAAUCUUACACGAUGAUUGCCGACGGUGUAGCCCGAGGUGCAUAUGUUAGACACAAUUAUCAUGGACCUGUUCAACUUCAAUCAAGGUAUGAUGACUACUCAAAGGUGAGCGGCAACUCUUAUUUUGAAGAAAACCCGCCUAUAAGGAGGCAAAAUGAUCGUGAUAAAUAUCGGGUAAGAGCUGAAAUUCCUUCUUUUAGUGGAAAUUUUCUUGAAGUUGAGGAUUUUAUCGAUAGGGUAUCAGAAGUCGAAAGGUAUUUUGAAUUGAUGGAUAUUUUGCCGAAUAAGAUGGUAAAAUUGGUGAGGUGUGAGUUAAAGGGUAGUGCAGCCGCAUGGUGGGAUGGGAUACAGUGAGAAAAAUUUCCAAUCCAAUCAUGGAGAAGGAUGAGAAAAAUGUUGAUGGAUCGUUUUUUACCCCUAGGUUAUGAGCAACGUUUAUUUCAACUAUAUUGUAAUUGUUCGCAAGGGAGUAGAUCUGUUAACAAGUAUACUGCUGAGUUUAUGAGACUAGCAAACUUAAAUAACCUGCAAGAAUCCGAAAGUACGGAAAUUUCACGGUACUUGGUAGGAUUAAAUAUUUCAAUACGUCUUGGGAUGGGGUGGCGUAUAUUCUACACCCUUGAAGAGGCUCAAGAGUUAGCAUGGAGAGAGGAAUAUUAUCAGCGAAAUAGUUCUUCUAGAAAAACCGAAGAUGUUUCACCCGUUGUCAAAGUUAAGGAGGCACAAGAUACUUCGUUCGUUAUUCAACCUCCAAAUUUGGUGGAGGGUCAUGAUGUAGGAGUUGACGAAGUUGAAGAGGGGAUUGUCGUAAAAGUUAAAAGUAGCGUAGCUAUUAUUAACGAUGACAUUAACGAAAUCAAAGUGAACGUCGACGAAGUUGAAGGAACAGUCAACGAGCUUGAAGCGAACAUCAAUAAAGUUGAAGAGAGCGACAAUUGGGUAGAAGAGAAUAUUAGCAAGCUUGGAGAAGAAGUCGACGAGUUUAAAGAGGGUGUUAAAAGUAAAUUUGAGGAAGAGUUUGAAGUUGUAGAAUUUUCUCAAGAAGAGGAAGGUGCACGAGAAGAGAAGGUACAAGUGGAUUGCGUUGAGGUAUGUGAUCUAAUUGUAGAUAGUGUUUGCUGUGAAGUUCUUGUAUCGGAGAAAUUGGUGGAGCCAUUGGGAUUUUCGAUUAAGAAGCCAACUUUUCCAAUUCCUCGUUUGGAGGAAGAUUUUGUAAGUAAGAUUUUUGUGCCGGAAAGAUUGGUGGAGCACUUGAAGUUGUUUGCAACGAAAUAUGCAUCGCUAUAUUUUGACCAUAGCUCGAGGUCGAGCUCUUUUGAAGAAGAGGAGAUUGAUAAGGAACGUCAAAUUGGACUCGAAUUGCAAAAUAACUAUUUAAUUCGGAGAAGAGUUAUUAAUGGGCAUCGGUGGAGAUAUCGAAAGAAAUUAUGGAAAAAUAAGGGUUUUCAACGAACUCGAAUUGUAUUUGAGUAUGAAACGAACUCUAUCUCAAGUGAAACGGCGCAAGGAACAAAACUCAUUAGCAAAGCUCAUGAAUCACGUCAAAUUUCAGCAAUCCAGCGUCGUUUAGACUCCUAAAAGUUCGUUUUUGCUACUUUAGGUAAGUUUUAGAAAAUUAAUAUCAAAUCAUAGAAAAAUCGGGUUGUUCCCAAAAUUACGAGAUCUACUAGAAUUAGGAUUUAACUCGUUUUUGCCGGUUUUGGUAAUUUUUAGUAUUUUCUUAGUUUAAUUAGGGUUUUCAGUUUUUUUAGUAUAAAUAAGUGCCUUAGAACUUUAUUUUGAAGAAGAAUUUCGAAUUUUAAUAAAAUAUUUAGAGUUUUCUCUAUUUUUCUGGUGGAUUCCAGAGUUUUCGGUGGAUUCCGAAUGUUAUCGUGUUCUAUAGGAUUAAUUCGUAGAAAUUAAUUCUUUACCGUGCUUCCGUUCUGCGUCAAUAUAUUUGGAAUUUAAAAGUGAAUCUAUCCUUAUUAGAAAAAUUCACGAGAGAUUGUAAUCAAGGGAUUUUAGCUUGUAAAUGUUGGAAAUUUUAUUCUUAAAAUAAAAAUAUUUUUUGAUGAAAAAAAAAGUUUUUUGGCACCUAUUUGAUCAAUAAGGUGUGACAAUAUGAAGAGUUGUGGCCACAUCUUUUCAUUUGUUUAGUUUCCUUACGGUUGAAUCUAUUAAUCGCAACCACUGGAAACUUAUAAAUAAAAAACUCCACAUGUUUGAUUUCAUAACAUCAAAAAUCAAUUCAAUUCCAUAAUUUUGUUUUAUGGAAUUCUUAAUUCUUUCUUUAGCCCGAAAAUAUUCUUCGUAGAAUAUUUUCUUACGUAUUCGAUUCGAGAGUUUGAGACACAAAGUAACGUUCGUUGUACUCAGGAUUUUGAGUGCUCAUAUUCCGAUUUUAGCAGUUGUAUCUUGAGAGACGAUUGUCAAAUAACCGCAAGCACCGUAGCGGGGAAAUAUCGUCUUAAGGAAAUAGUUUUCUCACCUCGGCUAAUCUUUUCGUAUUUUCACUAACUAAUUUGUUCGACCAUUUUACUAAAUUCACUACGCGUUUUAUAUACCAGGAACAACAAUCUUAAGACUAUAGUUUUAAUGUUUAUGUCAUGUAGUACAAAGAGUAUUACACCCUCGAUCGUGAAAUAUCGAUUGCUUGUUGAACCCUCUGAAUUGCGUGAAAGUAGGAUACUCAAAAUUUGGGGGUCUAGGAUUUUUAAAAAAUGUUCUUGGUGGAAAAAAAUGUGAAUGAAAUACCCCACUGAAUUGAAUUGGGUCCAUGAAUCUAAGAAAUAGUGAGAAUUCUCGAUCUUUCUCAAUUCGAAAAUCCAUGAUUUGAAUUGAUGUCCUUUCAUUGAUUCCUCCUAUUUGCAUUGAUUUAUCCUAAAGAUUUCAUUUCAACUGGAAUUUGUUUAUCCACCAUGAUUAUUUUUGCGCACGUUGGUAAAUAGCAUACUCGGCCCAUUUCUCAUUUGAGUGUUGACUUCAUAUAAAAAGACACAAUACCCCCGGGAUUUUGCAAUUAAUAAAUUCUUAUGUUUUUUAAAUAUUUUAAUUAUUUUAUUUUUGUUAUAUCUUAAUUAUAAAGGUACAAUGGGGUUUUUAAUUUAUUUUUAUUUUUAUUAUCACAUAAUUUUUAUAUAUAUUUUAAAUUAUCGCUACAUCAAAAAAAAACUUUAAUUCCAUUAUUAUGUAUUUAAAAAAAUCUAUACUUAAUUUGAUUAACAAAUUUUUAAUUAUUUUUUAAUUUAAUUAUUUACUAUUUUUUAACAAUAUUUUAAUUUCGAAACAAUAAAAUUAAAAGGAAAAUAUAUAUACAUAUAAUAUAUAUACAUAUAAAUACAUUUUUAGGAUCAAUUUCGUCAUUUCACGUCCAAAAACCAACUACCAGUCGCGUAACCCGCGAGUGAGCCACACUUAAGUCAACCGGGGGGUUUUUGCCUUUGACUAAAUUUCACCGGGGGGUGUUUGCUAGUUUAUUUAUCACAGGGGAUUUUUGCUAUUUGGAGAUUACACGGGGGUACUUUUUGCAGUUUACUCAUUUAUUUGCAUAAAUUGCAUAUAGUUUUGAUACGGGAUUUGCUUUCUCCCAAUUGUCAUUUGAUGUGGCCAGUUGAUUGAUUUUCGAAUAUGUUAUAUGGAAUUUGUGAGUAUGUGAUUUUAUUAACGUUUCUAUUAUUGUCUAUGAACGAAUUAAUUCCUUAGAUUUUUGUUAUUGCAUGAACACGUAUGGAUUACGUGCUAUAGAAUUUAUAUCAAUUAAUUAUGUUGGACAUGAAUUAAUUUAUGCCAUGAAAUAUUAUGUCCAAAUUUGAUGUUAUUAUAUACUCGUGGUAUACAAUGUAUAUUUUGAUAAAGUAUGUUUGGUCUAUUGUUUCUUUAUAUAAUUAACUAAUAUGAAAGUCGUGCUCACACCUCAAACAUUAUGUCUACAAUAUUGAUGUACAUAUAUUUUAUAUACGAAUCAUACAAAAGUGCAAUUAAAAGCAUGAUUGAAAUGAAAUAGAAAGAAAGAGAAGCUCAAUUCAUGAGAGCACAUGAGUAGUUCUCGUCUCAAGAACAUAAAAGGAGAUCGAAUCGUUGGUUCAAUUUGAUUUUUUGAUACCAAAUUUACAAGAUACUGAUCUACAGUGUGAAUGGAAGAAAUAGGAUUUUGAGUUUUUAAAAAAUCCGAAAUAGUUGUAAACAACAAUGAAUGUUUUGUUGAAAGAAAAUUCCAGCAGUUUACUUAAGAGCUCGUUUUGUAGAAUUGAAUCGUCAGAUUUGGAUGAAUUUUGAACGGCAUAUUUAGGACAUAUAAUCUUAUCUUAUGAACAGUUAAGAUUAGAAUUUGCAUAUUCUAACUUUAAUAUUGAAUAGUGAACAUCAACCACAAUUUGGAGAGAUUAAUAUUCUCUUGUUUAUUGACAAGAUUUAAGUAUCUUGACGAAUUUUCUCUUUUUUAGAAAACUAAAUAAAUAUUAUUCUCUAAUUUAUUGACAAGAUUUAAGUAUUUUGAGAAGUUCUCUUUUUGUAGAAAUACAUGCUUCUGAAAUUAAAUCAUAUCGGUGAUUUAAAAGAUUUCCCUAACUAAAUGAGAAAGGUAUAUCGUUACAUUUUGUAUCAUUGUUAAUGAAAUAAAAAUAAGGAUUUCAAAUCAUUUAAAUGCUAUGUGAGUGAAAGUUGGAAAAGGCCAAGUUUGACAAAUGAAUUAAAAAAUGAGUACUGAAACUCUUGGAAAAAGUUUAUGGAUAUCAUAUUGAUAAAUUCUAGAAUACAUACUCUAGAAUUUGUGGGGGAAAUUAGAUAUCCCGAGUUAACCACAUUAUUAAAUAUUUAGAAAUGUGGUGGUGUUAAGGCCGAGGUAAAUGUACCUAAGAUAAGAGGCCAAAAAUAGUUAAGUGCAUUUUCAUUGAAUAUACAAAUAAUGAUUGUGCAUAAAAUAGUCAUUCUUGAUGCAAAUUGAUUAUAUUGGAUUUUCCUGUCAAAAAAAGAAAUAAAUAAGUUCUAAACAAGAGAACUUAUAAACGUGUAAGUGGUAAAUCAUGAAAGUGAUGAACAACCAAGCUAAAAUAUGUGCGAUUGGUAAAUCAUCAAAGUGAUAAACAACCAAGAUACAACAAGAUAAAAAUAAAUUCAAUAUGUUUGAUUUUGAUUGAAUUUAUAACUAAUGAGUUAUAGAAUGAAGAAAGGACACCAAAUGAAAUAUUGUCCACAUUGGAUGAAUGUAGGUGGAAGUUAUUUUGUCUUCUUCUAAAUAGUAAACCAUUAAGGUUAGAUGGACUAUUCAAAAGAAGAAUUAAAAGGGUGGUCCUAUAAAGCUAAUUUAAAUAGCUUUGGAAAAAUCUUGAUUAUUUAUAACAAGAUAUUGAAACUCGUUAACUCAUUCUAAAGUAAUAUUUGAUAAAAUUGUUGUAUAAAAUAAUUCUCGUAAUAACGAUUGUGAACAGUGUGUUUAUACUAAAAGCACAUGGAAGUAUAUGUCUAUAGACUAUAUUAUAAUUAUGAGAUAGUUAGUGAUCAUGAUAUUAUUUUGAACGUUGAGAAAUAAUGAAAAAAAUAAAAAUUAAAUGUCUGAUGUCAAAGACGAGGGUCUAGACGACGUAACCUUAUAGAUUAAACUCACUAAGAACAAAGAUAGUCUUAUUGAAAGUUUCAGGUUGAGAUACUACUAGAAAAAAUGAUCUAGUUGUCCAAAGACCAAGUCAUUACUUUGCCAAAAAUAAUGAUGAACAAUGAUUCAAUUACAAAUUUUUUUGGACAGUGUGGCAGUAUAAUGUACUGCAACUUUAUAGAUAUGUAAUCACAAAAUAAAUAAUCAUUCAAUGAUAUUACAAGGGUUCUUAGGUAAUAUACGUAUCGCCUUUAAAUGGAUUACAUUAAAAAAAAAUAUAAUUGUAUUAGGAAAGUACAUUGGAUAUAUGAGUCCACUAAGAUUAUGUAACAUGGAAAUCCUCAAAGAAAAAUGUAUAUCUCGAUUCAUGAUUGAAUUCGAAUAGCUUUAGAUAAAGUUAUAAAAGAAGUUGAAUAAACUUCAUAAAAUUAUGUAUCUUGGAAAUCCUCAAAAAAAAAAUGAAUAUCUCGAUUCAUGGUUGUAUUCGAAUAUCUUUAGAUGAAGUUAUAAAAGAAGUUGAAUAAACUUCAUAAAAUUAUUGGAGGAUGUUCCGUGUUGGACUAAGUCGGUGCCUGCAAUUAUAAAUAAAUUGUGAUAGCCGAUCGGUUACAAUAAUGGCACAAACGACAUGUAUAAUGGCAAGUAUCGACACACUCGUCAUACACAUAAGACCAUUAGGAAAUUGAUCUCAAAAUAAAUAAUUAACAUUGAUUAGGCAAAUCAAUGGUUAAUAACGGAUUCACGACUAAAACUAAACUACAAAGAUCAAACAUAUGGCCUAUCUAGAGGAGUGAGACUAAAACCCACAAAUUAAGAAUUUUUAUAGUGGUAACCCAACCAUGAUGACUGGAAAUCCCAAAAACUUGUUCAAAAGGGACAACUAAGCUAUGGAAAUUCAAUGAUGAACUAAGGAGUAUAUAUUCCUAUGGAAUUAUAUAUUUCCACGUCAUUUCCGUGAUAAACAUUUAGUGUUGUCUGCAGAGAGUGUAAAGGAUAAGCGAAAGUUUUUAAGGAUUUCAAAACUUUGAUAAAAGGUGAGGUAUUGGCAGGAUAUAUACCUUUAAUUGGACAUAACCUAUUAUCGAUAUGUCGGCCACUUCAAAAUGAAAAACACUUAUGAAUCAAAGAUGUGCUCCAGGGUCAAAAUGAACGCAACCAUGAGAACCGAUGAAAUGUGGAAAAACUAUUGUGUGGUUAUCAUUGUCUUGGUUUACACAAAUGGCUGACAGUUCAAGACAUCACGUUUACUAAUUAGCCAAGUAAAUCCGAUGGUAUACCGCUAAGGAUGGUUUAAAGCCACAAGCUACCUAUCCCCAAUGCAAUAGUUCCACUUGAACUCUCCAUAGAAUCCAUCGUUUUUCGUUAAUUUUAUUGUUGGAAAUUUUAUUCUUUUUUGAAUGGAAAUUAAAAAAAUAUUUUUUGGCUCCUAUUUGAUCAAAUAUGUGAGACAAUAUGAAGAGGUGUAGUCACACCUUUUCAUUUGUUUAAUUUCCUAACGGUUGUAUCUAUUAAUCACAACCAUUGGAAACUUAUAAGUAAAAAACUCGACAUGUUUGAUUUCAUAACAUAGAAAAUCAAUUCAAUAUAUUCCAUAAUUUCGUUCUAUGGAACCCUUCUUUCUUUAGCCCGAAAAUAUUAUUCAUAGAACAUUUUCUUUGGAAUAUUCGAGAGUUUGAGACACAAAGUAACGUUCGUUGUACUCGGGAUUUUGAGUGUUCAUAUUCCGAGUUUAUCCGUUGUAUCUUGGGAGACGAUUGUCAAAUAACCGUAAGCACCGUAGCGGGGCAAUGUUCAGGAAAGUGUUUUCUCGCCUCGGCUAAUCUUUUUGUAUUUUUACUAACUAAUUUGUUCGACCAUUUUACUAAAUUCACUACCCAUUUUACUAAAUUCACUACCCGUUUUAUUUUAAAAUGGUAUUAUAGGGACUUCAGGGUGGCCGAGGGGGUAUGUCAAAAUAUUUUCGAAAUGAGGGGGGUUUCCCCUAUAGUGUAAUCCACUUGGUAGUUAGUUCUAUAUAAUUUGGAAAUGAGGGGGUCUACAAAAUAAUCUCUAAAGGAAAAAGCAAUUAAGGAAAACAAACACGAUGAGCCAUUUAAAACAAAGGACUCUUAGAUAAAACGCCCCCAAACAUUACAAUAAUAUGCAUGGGUCUAUUCAUAUUUUCAAUAUUUGAGAUGAACCCAUACUCUUUUCUUCUUCCUUAAAAUAACAAUAACAACGACAAAAAUAGCGAAAACCAACUAUUUUUUAUAAAAAAGACAAAUAUAAAAAAAUUGUAAUUGUUUCAUACAAAUUGGAUGAUGGAUUGACAAUGUCGGAACAAAAAAAAAAACCACCGUUGUGCCCCCAAGUCCAACUACCUGUUGUAAAAUAAGGAAUCAAUAAGCAAAAAUAUUUACAAUAAUAGUCGUUUAACCUUAAUCGAAUACUAAAGCGUAGUUGAUUAACCUUAAUCGACUACUCAGUUCCGCCCGAAGCCCUGUCCUUGACUACCCAAAAAUACCUAGAUCUGCUCUCCAUCGUCACUAGAACGUGCCCACAUCACACCAUUACCAUCCCCAUCCCCCCAACCCCAUCACAACCACCGGGCAUAUCCAAGCACACCUCCAUAAAUACAAUAGUCAAACCUAGCACCACCGCAAGUAAGUUCACGAAUACAACAACAACCACCACCCUCUUCCUCGAAAAAUAAACCUUACACGCUAGGAGAACCGUCCACUUCUCGCCACCAGUCGUCACCUCUACAUCUGCCGCGCCACGACCCUGGCCUGCCUUAGUCCUCGUCUUCCUCGUUUGGACAUUAGUCUAUGCCGUAGCGUUCAACGCCGCCAUCCGCUACAUGUGAGCGACCCAUUGCCCAACCUAACCAUUGAUCUAAUAUUGUAAAGAUGGAGAGAGAAGAGAGAAGAAGAUAAUGGAGUGAGAAUAAAGAUUUUUUAGAUCGAGAAAAAAAAGAGAGAGGAAAGAACGGCGCAAGAGAAGAGAAUUAAUAAAUUAUGGUUAAAAAAGUUAGAAAUCAUUAAGGGUAUAAUCGAAGAUUUGCUACUAUUAAACACCCAAGCUAACAACAAAAGGGGUUCUCUCAAAUUAGAAAAAAAAGAGGGGUUCUAUCCUACAUGAAUUCGCGAAAAAUUGGGUGGGUAAUGCUUAUUUUUCAUGGAACUAGUAAGUGACACGUGCGUUGCACGUGCUUUAUGAUUUUUCAUAAUAUUCAUAUAUAAUAUCUAUCCCAUCAAUAUAAUAUUACAAAAUUAUAUAGGGAAAAAAUUAAUAAAAAAAUAUAAACACUAAAACUUAUUCCAAGUACUUUAUAGUUAAUUAAUAACUAAUAUCAAUCUAAAUGAUAUUGUUAAUGAUUUGUAAAAUUAAUUUCAAGUCCAUAGCGAGCCAACUCGUGGAAAGAUGAUGCACCCAAAACCAUAUCUCUCGGUGAUUUUAGUAGGUUUUUUUCCAAUAUUGAUCACUAUUAGAAUCAAUAUUGGCCAUUAUUGAUCACUAUCUUGGUGAUAUUUGCCAAUAUUGAUCACUAUUAGAACCAAUAUUUCUUCCUUUCUUUAUAUGAACAAAACUAUCCUUUGCACUUGUAAAUUUAUAAGGAUAAUUUUGUCAUAUUUUAUUAACAUAAUAAUUGAUAGACAAUGAAGACUGACAAUGAAGACUUUUAAUAUUUAUAGUCUUUACAAUUAACAACUUGAGCUAUGGUAAAAUCAUUAAUUAAUAAUUAUCACUAACUAUUAACAACAUUAAUUACUGACAACAUCGAGAGGGUUUAAUUCCUACUCCGAAAUGCACAAUUCUAUCUUUUAUGUUUCAUUUGCAUAUUUCCUAUUAAUUACUCUUCAGAUAGAAUUGCUUUGAUAUUUGCCAAUAUUGAUCACUAUUAGAACCAAUUUCUUCUUGAAAAAGGUUAAUAAAAAAAUAUGAACACAAAACUUAUUCCACGGUACUUUAUAGUUUAUUAAUAAUUAAUAUAAAUCUAAAUGAUAUUUUUUAAUGUAGAUUCAUGAAAAUAUUAAUUUAUUUUUCUUUAUCUUAAGUCGCAGACUUCUCGUUCUUCAAAUUUUCACACGUGUUAUUUUUUCGUUGUUACUUAAUUUAAAUAUCGUCGCAAUAUUAACUACUCUUUCAACAAUUUUUUUUUCCUUGCAUAUUUUUUCGUAAAUUAUAUGCAUCAAAAGUAAUUUUUGAUAUGACUAUUCUUUUAAUAUCCUUUUACAAUAUUACUUUUGUUAUUCUCUUUGACCCAUAGCUAGAAUAUAUAAACAGAUUCCACUAUAUCGCGUGGAGUGAUAUUUUCAUUUCUAUGUUAUUAUAAUUUACAUCCAAAUAAAUAAACUAAAGUAAAUCAAAUUACAUUAUUUUAUAUGUAAUUCACACCUACAAGCUAUAAUAUUCAUUUAUAUAAUCUCCCUUUUUUUUUUAAUGUUUUGAGGUUUGCCAAAUUCAGUUUGAAUUUUUGUAAAUAAUAUUUGAAAUCGAAACAGUACCAGGCUACUAAAAUAUUGGAAAAAUAUUUAACACCUCCCAUAUUUUAUACUAAUCUCUUGAUACCUCACUUUAUUAUACAGUUUUCAGUUUCAGAUCACUAUUCACUAUCACAACCACCUCAAAAAAUAUGCAUUCAACAUCAGGAUCAUCUUAAUAGAUCGAAAGUUUCAAAAAAAUAUGUUGCACGCUUUUGGAAACAAUCUAUUAGGAACAAUUGCUUGGACGGCCAUCCUCACAGAACUCUGGCCAAUUUUUCUUCAACCUGGAGUUUGUUGUCACAUUUACUGGAACAAAUAUUGUGACCUCUUAAGACAUAAUAAUAAUAAAAAUAAAAAUAGAAGUAAAAAUAAAAAUAAAGCAAUUAGUAAGAAAAUAGAUUAUGCCUCCCAACGAAAAAAACCAAACGAUUAUAUAAAUAUAUUUAAGAAAUACACAUCCAAUAUUAUAACUUACAAGAAUAUUUAUGAAGGAACUUAAUUAUGUUAGGCUUAUGUUGCAUCGUUAGAUUUCUUCAAAUAAUAGGCAAAUAAUUGUUUUUUCAUAAAUAGGUAGAUAAAUACAAUUCUAGAAUAACUACCCAACAAAUGAUAAAGUGCCAAUAAACAUUCACGUAACGUAUUUAUUUUGAAUUGAGAAUUUACUUAUGAAUUCAUAUAUAUAUAUAUAUAUAUAUAUAUAUAUAUAUAUAUAUAUAUAUAUAUAUAUAUAUAUAUAUAUAUAUAUAUAUAUAUAUAUAUAUAUAUAUAUAUAUAUAUAUAUAUAUAUAUAUAUAUAUAUAUAUAUAUAUAUAUAUAUAUAUAUAUAUAUAUAUAUAUAUAUAUAUAUAUAUAUAUAUAUAUAUAUAUAUAUAUAUAUAUAUCCAUGCACGAGACCAAAUUAGGCUAAAUCUUUGAAGACCUUUCUCUUCCCGGUGUGAUAGUUAGAGCGUGGAAAGAGACUUAAAGCUCUAAGUAACCAAUAACAAAAAGUACAACCAACACAAAGAAACUUAAAGCCACCAUAUAUCCUACGAAAGUUUUGUCAAAUAGAAAGAGCUAAGAGUUGGUUUUCAAUUUACGAUACUUCAUUUUGCAUCAUAAAACUUUCGAUGUCAUUCUUUUUCGGCCAUUUAACUCUUUACCACCAAAUUAAUAAUAAAACAUCAAAUAUAACAACAGGGUAAACUGCAUAAAACCCCCUUGUGUUACGUAAAAUCCGCUCCAAACACCUAUGUGUUAAUUUUAUUGCAUAGAAUUCUCCUUUGUUUUAUUUUAUCUUACAUGAAAUCCCCCAUUCCGUUAACAAUUAACACCAUUAACUAUUAGGGUAUUCCAUGCAAUUUAUUCAUAACACGAGGGGGUUUGGUGCAUUUUUUCAUCAACAUAUGGGGGUCGUAAGCAAAAUAUUUUAUUUAUUUAAAAUUUGAAUUAUUUUUUAAAAUUAAGUCUAAUGGUAAUGAUGGUAAUGAUGAAUUUUCUAGCAAGUUUCGUUUGUUUUUUUAUUUAUUUUUUAUUUUUUCAUUUUACCGUUUCCAAUUCAAAUUUUACAAUUUUAGAACUUUUUCUUCAUUUGGAUUUCAUUUCUUUUAAAACACAAUUGCAUCAAAAUUGAAACUAAUAAUUUUUUUUGAAAUUUCCAAUUUUGAAUAAAGAAAUUAUUUUAUCAAUGUAUUUAGAAAAAUAUUAUAUUUAUAUUAUCAAAAUGUUUAUAUAUUUAUAUAAUUUAGGUUGUAUGUAUUAUAUGUCAAUGAAUAUAAAUUUUAUGAAAAUUUGAAUUUAGUUUGAUAUAAAUAUUUAGAUCAAUAAUUUUGAAAAUUCGACUUUCAAAGAUUGAAUAAACGUGUUUGACUUAAUUUCAAAAAAUAAUUCAACUUUAAAAUAAAUAAAUAAAUUUUACAUAAGUUUCACUUUUAUUGUAAAUAACAUGCACCAAACCCCCUUGUGUUAUGAAAAACAUGCAUUGAAUUCCCCAAAAAUAUUUAACGGUGUUAAUUGUUAAAGGAAUGGGGGAUUUCAUGCAAGAUAAAAUAAAACAUAGGGAGAUCCCACGCAAUAAAAUUAACACAGAGAGAUUUGGUGCAUGUUUUCCAUAACACAUGGAGUAUUUAUGCAUUCAAAUCAUUUGCAAAACAUCAUAUUUUCUUUUAAAACAUUUGAAAUUAAAAAGUAAACGAUUAAUUAGAAGAGAGAAAAAGUUACAUGUACCAGUAGUAGUGGAUGAGCAUGUGAUUCUUUAAGAACUUUAAUCAAUAUUGAAGAAGGCAAAUAAAAAAAGGGAUAGAAUAUUAGAAGUAUAUCUAAUGAGUUUUUCUUGGUUUGUUUUAUUUUUUGACAUUCCCAAAGACAAUCCGAUAGAAUGUUCAUGUAUUCCUAUUACCUGAAGAGUUGUUAAUGAUAUUUAUUGUCAUUAACUGUGUUAUAAAUAAGUCAUUAUAUGUUAAAUAACAUUAAAAAAUUGAGUUUUGCAGUUACGAAGCCUUGGAAGUAAAGUGAGGGAAUACAAAUAGUUGCAAAGAAAUAACUUGGCAAACAAAUAACUUGAAUAUAAUUAUUUAUUUUAAAUCAGAUGGUAUAGUUAUUUAGCUAGUUAAGCAAUAUUACGAAAUUCCCCUUCAAAUAAACCUAAUUGAAGGGGCAUAUUUGUAAGCACAAAAAAAGGGAAGAAACCUCACCCAAGAUUCACACUUUUAUAGAUAGUAUAGAAAAUUGCACGUCACCCCUAUAAAUUUCUAUUUUUCGCACUUUACCCCUCCAAAUUUAAAAAAGUGAAUGCCCCCUUUCAAAAUGUUAUUCUUGUUGCACAUUAUCCCUAUAGCAAAAUUCUGAUGGAUUAUUUAUCGGAAUGGACUUUUUUUGUUGCACGUUACCACUUUAAAUGUUAUUUUUGUUGCACUUUGCCCAUAAAAAUAUUAUUUUUCUGCACAUUGCCGAUUUAAAAUGUUAUUUUUGGUGCACGAUGUCCACUGGUAAUUGGCUUUUGGAGCAAAGGGCAACUAAAACAAUAAUUCGAAGUGGGUAGAUCCCUUUGUAGAAUUUUUAGGGGUGAAAAUGCAAGAAUGGAAAAUUUAUAGAGAGUGAAGUGCAUUUUGUCCCUUUUUUUUCAAAAAAAAAAAAAAAUUGUCAUGAAGUAUUUGAAGUGUAUCUGCAUAUUUUUUAUUAUCUGGAAAAAGAUAUAAUUAGUUCCCUAAUAAAUAAACAAUUACAUAAACCAACACAUCUUCGAUUCCUAAAAAUCGUACGCAUGUGGCUAUGCUUCAAUAUGAGGAUGUUCAGAUAUUCACAUCCAACUCCAAGCAUCUCUAUUUUCAUACAUACAUAUUCAGACCGCACACUUGGCAAAACCUCAUUGGUCAAAAGAAAACACUCACACAUCUCGUGAGAUUCUUACAUCCUCAUGUCUCCAAAUUCAAAGAGGAUUAGUGGUGAUAGCCGUUGCCAAAUAUACAUAUAUGCCACCUAGACCAAUAGCAAUCUGGAUAAUGAUAUUUAGAUAAUUAUUAGGACCCUCGCUCAUAUAAAUUAAACAUUCUUUGCAAAUACAUAUUCUUUCAUUUCAUAAUACAAUAAUGGCUGCCUCUUCAAGUUCAAUGGCGUUGUCUUCUCCAUCUUUCGCCGGACAGGCAGUGAAGCUCUCUCCCGAAAUCACCGCCAACUACAGCCGUGUCUCAAUGAGGAAAACCGCCGCAAAGCCGAAGCCUGCGUCAUCCGGCAGCCCAUGGUACGGCCCAGACCGUGUCAAGUAUUUGGGUCCAUUCUCCGGGGAGGCACCUAGCUACCUCACCGGUGAGUUCCCAGGUGACUACGGGUGGGAUACAGCUGGACUUUCGGCUGACCCCGAAACAUUCUCCAAGAACCGUGAGCUUGAAGUGAUCCACUCAAGAUGGGCCAUGCUUGGUGCUCUUGGUUGCGUCUUCCCCGAGCUUUUGGCCCGCAACGGUGU